This 427-nucleotide ribosomal RNA is filed under the name uncultured bacterium. Its description in RNAcentral is "partial 16S ribosomal RNA". It matches the Rfam family "Bacterial small subunit ribosomal RNA", at positions 355 to 774 of the family's 1533-position model. The record is from RNAcentral.
UGGGGAAUAUUGCACAAUGGGCGCAAGCCUGAUGCAGCCAUGCCGCGUGUAUGAAGAAGGCCUUCGGGUUGUAAAGUACUUUCAGCGAGGAGGAAGGCGUUGUGGUUAAUAACCGCAACGAUUGACGUUACUCGCAGAAGAAGCACCGGCUAACUCCGUGCCAGCAGCCGCGGUAAUACGGAGGGUGCAAGCGUUAAUCGGAAUUACUGGGCGUAAAGCGCACGCAGUCGGUCUGUCAAGUCGGAUGUGAAAUCCCCGGGCUCAACCUGGGAACUGCAUCCGAAACUGGCAGGCUAGAGUCUUGUAGAGGGGGGUAGAAUUCCAGGUGUAGCGGUGAAAUGCGUAGAGAUCUGGAGGAAUACCGGUGGCGAAGGCGGCCCCCUGGACAAAGACUGACGCUCAGGUGCGAAAGCGUGGGGAGCAAACA